Molecule: ribosomal RNA, 990 nt
Filed under: uncultured bacterium
Lineage: Bacteria
Description: bacterial SSU rRNA
Rfam family: Bacterial small subunit ribosomal RNA
Source: RNAcentral
CAGUCGAGCGGAGAUGCGGAUAUGUUUACAUAGAAGCGUUCUUAGCGGCGGACGGGUGAGUAACACGUGGGUAACCUGCCUCAAAGUGGGGGAUAGCCUUCCGAAAGGAAGAUUAAUACCGCAUAAGCCUACAGUGCCGCAUGGUACAGCAGGAAAAGGAGUAAUCCGCUUUGAGAUGGACCCGCGGCGCAUUAGCUAGUUGGUGAGGUAACGGCUCACCAAGGCGACGAUGCGUAGCCGACCUGAGAGGGUGAUCGGCCACAUUGGAACUGAGACACGGUCCAGACUCCUACGGGAGGCAGCAGUGGGGAAUAUUGCACAAUGGGCGAAAGCCUGAUGCAGCAACGCCGCGUGAGUGAUGAAGGCCUUCGGGUCGUAAAGCUCUUUGAUCAGGGAUGAUAAUGACAGUACCUGAAAAACAAGCCACGGCUAACUACGUGCCAGCAGCCGCGGUAAUACGUAGGUGGCGAGCGUUGUUCCGGAAAUUACUUGGGCGUAAAAGGAUGCGUAGGUGGAUAUUUAAGUGGGAUGUGAAAUUCCCCGGGCUCAACCCGGGAACUGCAUUCCAAACUGGGUAUCUAGAGUGCAGGAGAGGAAAGCGGAAUUCCUAGUGUAGCGGUGAAAUGCGUAGAUAUUAGGAGGAACACCAGUGGCGAAGGCGGCUUUCUGGACUGUAACUGACACUGAGGCAUGAAAGCGUGGGUAGCAAACAGGAUUAGAUACCCUGGUAGUCCACGCCGUAAACGAUGGGUACUAGGUGUAGGAGGUAUCGACCCCUUCUGUGCCGUCGUUAACACAAUAAGUACCCCGCCUGGGGAGUACGGUCGCAAGACUAAAAACUCAAAGGAAUUGACGGGGGCCCGCCACAAGCAGUGGAGGCAUGUGGUUUAAUUCGACGAAUACACGGAAGAACCUUUACCUGGACUUGACAUAGUAAAGAACUUUUCUAGAGAAUAAGAUUGGUGUCUGCUUGCAGAAACUUAUAUACAG